AACGAACGCUGGCGGCAGGCCUAACACAUGCAAGUCGAGCGAGGACUUCGUUCCUAGCGGCGGACGGGUGAGUAACGCGUGGGAACGUGCCCUUUGCUUCGGAAUAGCCCUGGGAAACUGGGAGUAAUACCGGAUGAGCCCUUUGGGGGUAAGAUUUAUGGGGGCAGGCUCGGGCCGCGUUGGAUUCGGUAGUUGGUGGGGGAAUGGCCUACCAACCCGACGAUCCAUAGCUGGUGGGGGAGGAGGGUUAUGCACACUUGGAAUGAGACACGGACCAGACUCCUACGGGGGGCAGCAGUAGGGAAUCUUAGACAAUGGGGGAAACCCUGAUCAAGCCAUGCCGCGUGAGCGAUGAAGGCCUUAGGAUUGUAAAGCUCUUUCAGCUGGGAAGAUAAUGACGGUACCAGCAGAAGAAGCACCGGCUAACUCCGUG
Molecule: ribosomal RNA, 433 nt
Filed under: uncultured bacterium
Lineage: Bacteria
Description: partial 16S ribosomal RNA
Rfam family: Bacterial small subunit ribosomal RNA
Source: RNAcentral